GGAGUUAGCCGGUGCUUCUUCUGCGAGUAACGUCACAGAUGUAAGGUAUUAACUUACACCCUUUCCUCCUCGCUGAAAGUGCUUUACAACCCGAAGGCCUUCUUCACACACGCGGCAUGGCUGCAUCAGGGUUUCCCCCAUUGUGCAAUAUUCCCCACUGCUGCCUCCCGUAGGAGUCUGGGCCGUGUCUCAGUCCCAGUGUGGCUGAUCAUCCUCUCAGACCAGCUAGGGAUCGUCGCCUAGGUGAGCCUUUACCUCACCUACUAGCUAAUCCCACCUGGGCUUAUCCAUCAGCGCAAGGCCCGAAGGUCCCCUGCUUUCCCCCGUAGGGCGUAUGCGGUAUUAGCAGUCGUUUCCAACUGUUAUCCCCCACAAAUGGGCAAAUUCCCAGGCAUUACUCACCCGUCCGCCGCUCGUCAUCUUCAAAGCAAGCUUUUGAAAUGUUACCGCUCGACUUGCAUGUGUUAGGCCUGCCGCCAGCGUUCAAUCUGAGCCAGUAAUCAAACUCUGA
This 511-nucleotide ribosomal RNA is filed under the name uncultured bacterium. RNAcentral describes it as "partial 16S ribosomal RNA". The record is from RNAcentral.